RNAcentral lists this ribosomal RNA (301 nucleotides) under uncultured bacterium. RNAcentral describes it as "partial 16S ribosomal RNA". It matches the Rfam family "Bacterial small subunit ribosomal RNA", at positions 509 to 808 of the family's 1533-position model. The record is from RNAcentral.
CAGCAGCCGCGGGAAUACGUAGGUCCCGAGCGUUGUCCGGAUUUAUAGGGCGUAAAGGGAGCGCAGGCGGUUUAGUAAGUCUGAAGUUAAAGGCAUUGGCUCAACCAAUGUAUGCUUUGGAAACUGUUAGACUUGAGUGCAGAAGGGGAGAGUGGAAUUCCAUGUGUAGCGGUGAAAUGCGUAGAUAUAUGGAGGAACACCGGUGGCGAAAGCGGCUCUCUGGUCUGUCACUGACGCUGAGGCUCGAAAGCGUGGGUAGCGAACAGGAUUAGAUACCCCGGUAGUCCCUGUCUCUUAUACA